GCCCUGCUAGCUCAAUCGGUAGAGCGUGAGACUUUUACAGCACUCGGCAGUAAAAAUUGGCUUACGUGUCAUACGUUCACGUGAUCUCAAGGCUGCGGGUUCGAGCCCCGCGUGGGGCU
This 119-nucleotide transfer RNA is filed under the name Rhizoctonia solani AG-1 IB. It matches the Rfam family "tRNA". From Rfam's summary of the family: Transfer RNA (tRNA) molecules are approximately 80 nucleotides in length. Lineage: Eukaryota; Fungi; Basidiomycota; Agaricomycetes; Cantharellales; Ceratobasidiaceae. The record is from Rfam by way of RNAcentral.